CCCGCUGAACUUAAGCAUAUCAAUAAGCGGAGGAAAAGAAACUAACAAGGAUUCCCCUAGUAACUGCGAGUGAAGCGGGAAAAGCUCAAAUUUAAAAUCUGGCAGUCUUUUGAUUGUCCGAGUUGUAAUCUAGAGAAGUGCUAUCCGUGCUGGACCAUGUACAAGUCUCCUGGAAUGGAGCGUCACAGAGGGUGAGAAUCCCGUCUCUGACAUGGACUACCAGUGCAUUGUGAUGUGCUCUCAAAGAGUCGAGUUGUUUGGGAAUGCAGCUCUAAAUGGGUGGUAAAUUCCAUCUAAAGCUAAAUAUUGGCGAGAGACCGAUAGCGAACAAGUACCGUGAGGGAAAGAUGAAAAGAACUUUGGAAAGAGAGUUAAACAGUACGUGAAAUUGUUGAAAGGGAAACGCUUGAAGUCAGUCACGUUGGCUGGAGAUCAACCUUGCUUCUGCUUGGUGCAUUUUCCAGUUGAUGGGCCAGCAUCAAUUUUGAUCAGUGGAUAAAGGUCAGGGGAAUGUGGCAUCUCUGGAUGUGUGAUAGCCCUUGGUUGUAUACAUUGGUUGGGAUUGAGGAACUCAGCAUGCCGCAAGGCCAGGUUUUUUUUAAACCAUGUUCAUGCUUAGGAUGCUGGCAUAAUGGCUUUAAUCGACCCGUCUUGAAACACGG
RNAcentral lists this ribosomal RNA (662 nucleotides) under uncultured fungus. Its description in RNAcentral is "eukaryotic LSU rRNA". It matches the Rfam family "Eukaryotic large subunit ribosomal RNA", at positions 24 to 664 of the family's 3401-position model. Lineage: Eukaryota; Fungi. The record is from RNAcentral.